GGUCUCGUGGUCUAGCGGUAUGAUACUCGCUUAGGGAGUUGUUCUCUGGAGCAGCUUGAAAACUCUAAGCCAAUUGCGAGUGGUCCCGGGUUCGAUUCCCGGCGAGACCC
This 110-nucleotide transfer RNA is filed under the name Aureobasidium subglaciale EXF-2481. It matches the Rfam family "tRNA". Rfam says of the family: Transfer RNA (tRNA) molecules are approximately 80 nucleotides in length. Their secondary structure includes four short double-helical elements and three loops (D, anti-codon, and T loops). Lineage: Eukaryota; Fungi; Ascomycota; Dothideomycetes; Dothideales; Saccotheciaceae. The record is from Rfam by way of RNAcentral.